Molecule: long non-coding RNA, 967 nt
Organism: Nerophis ophidion (straightnose pipefish)
Lineage: Eukaryota; Metazoa; Chordata; Actinopteri; Syngnathiformes; Syngnathidae
Exons: 2
Source: RefSeq, a predicted model, not a curated record
UACAAAAGUAUCAGCAAAACUAGAGCGAAACCACAGUGAGCGACUUCUGAUUGGCCAAGCUGGACCACGUGACCUGCCUCAUUACCAUACGGCCAGGUAGAGUGGGAGCAAACAGUCCCGGCUGUGCGUGCAACGCCGCUCCGUCUCCUCGGAUCAAAUUUGUUGUUUUUUCUUCCUUUUUUUUUUCAACUGGGACGUCCUCAAAACGGCUCACCUUUCCCCCACGGGUUUCUGGCCGUUCGACAGCGGUCCGUCACCGUAGCGAUGCAGACAUCCAUCACACCCACGGUGUCGGCACUGGUCUCCACUGUGGCGCUCCUUCUCUGCUUGGCUCUGCUGCUGAUGCUGUGUGUGCUGAAGAAGAAAAGAAGGAUGGAGGGAACAUACCGGCCCAGCGCAGAGGAGAGAAAACAGAUGGGCGGGACCAGAUCCGACAAGUCCGGCCUGUCUCUGCCUUUGCCCAAAGAAGAGCGCCUCAUAUGAUUACGCCGUGCAAAUGGACUCCAUUAAGAGCUUUUUUUUUUGGUCAACGUUUGGAUUAUUGCUGCCACUCACUCCUGGUUAUGUUUCAAGCUUGACUUUUGCACCACAAAUCUUAUGACACACUCAACUCUUGUUUGUUGGACUGAUUUUUAAUUCCGAACAAUAAUGAUACUGACAGAACAUCGGAUCUGUCACCAGUUACAUUGUAUUAAAAAAAAAAAAGAAGAAAAAAAAAGAAAAUAUUCCUUUUGACUGUUGGAGUUUGGCUUUCUGGUGAAUUUGCUCAUUUAAAGUCACUCUCCUCAGUCUAAAAGAUAACUUGAAGAUGAGGUUUGUUUUUACCGCACUCGCUUAUUUUGAAAACAUGUUUCACACUUUAUAUAACCAUGAAGGAUACUGAUAGACACUGACAAUCAUAAAAUGCACUUUUUUGUUAAAAAAAAAAAAAAAAAAUGUGUACGUAAAUAAAAAAAUGUGUACGUUA